RNAcentral lists this ribosomal RNA (468 nucleotides) under uncultured bacterium. RNAcentral's name for it is "partial 16S ribosomal RNA". It matches the Rfam family "Bacterial small subunit ribosomal RNA", at positions 28 to 507 of the family's 1533-position model. The record is from RNAcentral.
GACGAACGCUGGCGGCGUGCUUAACACAUGCAAGUCGAACGGAAAGGCCCUGCUUUUGUGGGGUGCUCGAGUGGCGAACGGGUGAGUAACACGUGAGUAACCUGCCCUUGACUUUGGGAUAACUUCAGGAAACUGGGGCUAAUACCGGAUAGGAGCUCCUGCUGCAUUGUGGGGGUUGGAAAGUUUCGGCGGUUGGGGAUGGACUCGCGGCUUAUCAGCUUGUUGGUGGGGUAGUGGCUUACCAAGGCUUUGACGGGUAGCCGGCCUGAGAGGGUGACCGGCCACAUUGGGACUGAGAUACGGCCCAGCCUCCUACGGGAGGCAGCAGUGGGGAAUAUUGCACAAUGGGCGGAAGCCUGAUGCAGCAACGCCGCGGGCGGGAUGACGGCCUUCGGGUUGUAAACCGCUUUCGCCUGUGACGAAGCGUGAGUGACGGUAAUGGGUAAAGAAGCACCGGCUAACUACGUG